GUGGACGGGGCACCCUCCUGGCUCCGAAACUGCCUCGUGCAUGCCUCCCACCUCCUCUCCUCCAGUAGGGAAGAAGCACCCCCAACACCCCUGCUCCACCUGCGAGGAGAUGAGAUGUGCCUGCAUCACCUCUGUCAGCUCCGCACUCAGCACCGCCUCUCCCAGACCCUUCACUUGCAUUUGUCUGUCUGUGCCACCACUCUCCAAACGUCUCUGCCAAGCCAAGAGCCCUCCCUCCACUCCACCCCACACCCAGGAAUGCCGGGGAAGGGGAAGGUGGCGGAAGGGGUAAGAUGACCCGGGAACGUGGCCACCUACCCUGGGUCUAUGCAGAACCACACCCACUUGACCCCACAUCUCUGUGUCCAAAACCCACCCUUGCCUGCCCCAGGGCGAGGAGCUGACAGCCUGUGGGGGGCGUCUUCUAAAUGCCCCGGGGCUUUGGGAAUGCAGCUGGAGCUUGCCCCUUUGCCUUUCUGGUUGGCAGUGUGCGGGGAUGGGGUGGAGGUAUGGGGGGGCCUUCCUCUUUUACAUUGUCCUCCUCACCUUUCCCCUCUCUCUCCAGUCUCAGAAGUCUGCCAUUAUUUCCUUCUUAGUGGCCCACCCCUCCCACUGACUGAGUUCUCCUUCAACCCAUGUUCCAUCCCUGCACCCCCAACCCCAGGUUCUCACAGUCCAUGCUCCAGUGUCCCUCCUUGGCGGGCCACCCCCACCCUGGCACCCCCAAGGCCAGGGCUGCAUCUCCCAUAUCUCUCAGAUUGCCCAUCGUAGCAGAGGGCCAGUGGGAGGCUCCUCAGUACAGUGUCCUCUCACAGGCCUCUGGCAUCCUAGCUUUCUAGUCCCACCAGACACUUGGUCUCAAAAGCCUGAUCCCAUACAGAACUGAUCACUGGGCCUGGUGGGCCCAGCCCCCUACUUCUACACACCCUCCAUCCCCACCCGGAAGUUGGCAAUUUGGAGCUGAGUCCCAGAGACCAGAGUCCACUCACCCCUUCCCUCCCCACCCGUUCAGUGAAAGGAGACUGCCAGCAGGGCAAGGGUGACUCAAGUCCAACUAGGCCCAAACCUCUGGGGUGCCCUCCUCACCCAGCUGCCUGGCUAAGGUGUGGACGAAGCUCAUCCACUGACCCAGAACUUGCCCACCCCUCAGUCCCAGAGUCAGCAACAGACUAACCCCUGCCCUCUGCCCAGCCCGGCGACCUCAGAGCCAGGGUCUACACUGAGAGCUGGGAAAGGAAGGGGGAGGGUGAAAGAAAGCAGGCGGAGGCGCAGGUUCCUGGAAGGCGUCUUUAAUCAGGAUUUGGUAGUACACAAGCUCUCCGGAUUGUCUGCAUUAACAUACAGGGACUUAAAAAGGCACAAAAUCC
RNAcentral lists this long non-coding RNA (1367 nucleotides) under Homo sapiens (human). RNAcentral describes it as "HSALNT0106351". The record is from RNAcentral. Lineage: Eukaryota; Metazoa; Chordata; Mammalia; Primates; Hominidae.